AGUCGUAACAAGGUUUCCGUAGGUGAACCUGCGGAAGGAUCAUUAGUGAAUAUAGGACGUCCAACUUAACUUGGAGUCCGAACUCUCACUUUCUAACCCUGUGCACUUGUUUGGGAUAGUAACUCUCGCAAGAGAGCGAACUCCUAUUCACUUAUAAACACAAAGUCUAUGAAUGUAUUAAAUUUUAUAACAAAAUAAAACUUUCAACAACGGAUCUCUUGGCUCUCGCAUCGAUGAAGAACGCAGCGAAAUGCGAUAAGUAAUGUGAAUUGCAGAAUUCAGUGAAUCAUCGAAUCUUUGAACGCACCUUGCGCUCCAUGGUAUUCCGUGGAGCAUGCCUGUUUGAGUGUCAUGAAUACUUCAACCCUCCUCUUUCUUAAUGAUUGAAGAGGUGUUUGGUUUCUGAGCGCUGCUGGCCUUUACGGUCUAGCUCGUUCGUAAUGCAUUAGCAUCCGCAAUCGAACUUCGGAUUGACUUGGCGUAAUAGACUAUUCGCUGAGGAAUUCUAGUCUUCGGAUUAGAGCCGGGUUGGGUUAAAGGAAGCUUCUAAUCAGAAUGUCUACAUUUUAAGAUUAGAUCUCAAAUCAGGUAGGACUACCCGCUGAACUUAAGCAUAUCAAUUAAAAGUCG
Molecule: ribosomal RNA, 630 nt
Filed under: uncultured fungus
Lineage: Eukaryota; Fungi
Description: eukaryotic LSU rRNA
Rfam family: 5.8S ribosomal RNA (bases 199-352)
Source: RNAcentral